RNAcentral lists this long non-coding RNA (2524 nucleotides) under Homo sapiens (human). RNAcentral's name for it is "non-protein coding lnc-SH3D21-7:4". Lineage: Eukaryota; Metazoa; Chordata; Mammalia; Primates; Hominidae. The record is from RNAcentral.
CUCAUUUCCCGGUCUGUCGCCUUUGUAGAAACCCCGAGGAUGGCAACCUUCAACCUGGAGAUCCCUGAAGCCUUGACCAGGGAGGUUUACAGUGAAGCGUUCCUAUUAGCGACUACAGCUAUCUAACCUCAGUUCCUCCUGCUGCAGUUUCGGUCCCUUUCUCCUCCUCCUCCAGCAACCACGCCCUCCAUGAAUCAGCUUCUUGCACCAGCAGAUGAGCCCUUUAAAGGGAUUGCAUCAGGCAAGUGACUCACUGGGGCCCUCUAAGAGCCUGGCUUCCCUCCCUUGGCAUGCAGAAGCAGCUAGAAGGGCUCAGUGGCAGCAGCACCAGCGGCCGUAGCCCCACUCCCUUGUCCCAGAGGUGUGAGUCAGGGUGUUUGCUGCUUAUGAUGUCUAACUCUUGGCUGUCUUUCCAGCUGUCCCCUGGGUCACUCUAUAUCCAUGUGUGGGCACACGUGUCUAAGCUUGUGUGCACUGCUGGGUUUUCCUAGGGUGUGUGGCCACUUGUGUGUAUGUGCAUUUGUCAUCUCCACAUAGGCAGUGCCAGGACACAAGAGCUGAUAUGAGUGAAGUCUGGCUGCCUCUACCUGUGUCCUUUGUCUCUGAAUGCCUGGUGCCCACUGAGCUGCUGAUAGGGCUGACUAACAAGAGUAAUCAGGACAGCUCCCACCGUUGUGCCACACUCUGCAUGGAGCACUUGAGACAGUAUUAGGUAGGAGGCUGUUUACAGCUGAGGAAGCCAGUGCUCAGAGAAGGAAAUUAAUGUGCCCAAACACACACAGCUAAUAAUGGCAGGGCUAGGAUUCAAAUCAAGUCUGAUGGAUUCCAAAAAACUUGGCUUUGAAUCCCUGCUGCAUCACUUACAAGCUGGGUGACUAUGUGCAAAUUGCCCAAUCUUCCCCUUCUGUCCAAACAGGGAUAACGCUUGGGGGAUCACUGUGAGGACUCGGAGUUAUAGAAACAGCUUUUUGCAAGACCCAGCGAGCACUCAUACUCAUCUCAGUUGAAGGGCUUCAAUGAGGUGGGUGACCAAAAGACAGGCAUAAAGAAGGCCCCAGCCCAGCAAGCUCCACUCUCUGACAAAACAAAAAGCCUAGGGAUUCCGGAAGCCCUGACUCUGACAAAAAUGAGUUCUGGGUUUUCCAGAGCUCUAAUUAUCAGCUAGAUGAAUCACUCUGCGCUGACACCACCAUUCCUACCCCCAGGAGACUCUCAGCUGAUUGAAAAUCCAGGAUUUUAACAAAGGAGAGGAGGAGGAACAGAAAGCUAGGAGGAGAAGAAGUAAUGAAUAGAAACCAAAGGUGCCAGCCAGAGGAAAUGAGAAACUGUCAUCAGGACACUACCAUGAGGAGAACGCUGGGACACACACACACACACACACACACACUCACACUCACGCUGACAUACUCUUGCUGGCUCUCCAACUCUAGGCUUACGGCAGACGGUGCUGCCAUAACAAAGUGACGCCUGUCACAACAGCAUGAGAUGGUGGCUUGACAAGGUAUAGGCAGAUCUGCCUAUCACAGAAGGAGGGAAAGAGACCUUCAACCCCCAGGGGCUUCCUCAGGCUUCUGAACCCUCGUCUCCAUUACUGGUUGGCUCUGGCUUCUCUUUGUCACCAAAUCGCAAGGCCUAAAUCUGGCAAAUUUUGAGUGUCAGACCUACACCCUGUGGCUAGGUACCACCACUGUGGUGAACAAAGGCACCUCUUAUACUCUGUCAUCAGUAUGAUGCCAAGAGUGCUGGGAAACAGAAUAGCACAGCAGUUAAGAUCAUUGAGUUGGAGUCACACAGACCUGAGUUCAAAUCCCCAUUCUGUUGUUCACCUUGAGCAGGCCACAUAACUUCCUUGAGCCGGUUUGCUCAAAUGUAAAAUGGUGCUAUUAAUAUAUGGGGUUUUUAUAAUGAUAUAAUAAGAUUACUUUCAGGGCUGGGCGCAGUGGCUCACUCCUGUAAUCCCAGCACUUUGGGAGGCCGAGGUGGGUGGAUUGUCUGAGGUCAGGAGUUCGAGACCAGCCUGGCUAACAUGGCAAAACCCCGUCUCUACUGAAAAUACAAAAAUUAGCUGGACGUGGUGGCUGGUGCCUGUAAUCCCAGCUACUUGAGAGGCUGAGCAGGGGGAAUCACUUGAACCUGGGAGGCAGAGGUCGCAGUGAGCCAAGAUCGCACCAUUGCACUCCAGCUCAGGCAACAAGAGUGAAACCCCAUGUCAAAAAAAAAAAAAAAAGGAUUAUUUUCAUUCCACAAGAUUGAUGGAGUGCCCACUAUGUGCAGAGCACUGAGCUAGAUGCUGGAGAUUCGGCAUAACCAGACAACAGCUCUGCCCUUGUGGAGCAUCAGAGCACCCAGCACAGGGCAAGUAGUAAAAUUCAACAAAGAGUAGCUAUUUUUCAUUUAUUUUAUUUUAGAGACGGGGUCUUGCUGUUGCCUAGGCUGGAGUGCAGUGGCACAAUCACAGCUCACUGCACCCUCAAACUCCCAGGCUCAAGAGAUCCUCCCACCUCAGCCUCCUGAGUAGCUGGGA